CCCAGUCUUCAUCUUGCUGAUAAGCAACAUAUAUACUCUCGGCCUGUCCGUAUUCCGAUUUAGUGUGAGAAAACUCUUGAAGCAAUGUUGUUCAUUAAGUCAGUCCUGAUAUUCUUUGUCUUGGCCGUAUCCUCGCCAUGGUUUCCUGGCAAGGCUAGUGCGAAUGACCUGGAAAUACCACCAGCCUACCUACCGCCACUGAAUUUCGACAUGCCCUAUAAGCCACCGGCAGAUGGAGCCACUUGGUGCUAUCAUGGAAAGAAAGUUGCCAUGUGCUUCGGACCGGAGAAAAUAUAUACUCCAUCAAAUUGUGCCAAGUGGAUAUAGAUACAAUAAAGCAGUUUUUGUGAAAUCGACUUACAUACACAUGUUUAUGAAUGGGGAAAGUUAAGAAACUAGCAUUAUGCAAUCGCACACCCCUGUCAGAUGAAGCUUAUUGUGGAUUGUACAUUUUUAAAUAACCUAUUUUCCUACUUUUUCAUCAUCUCCCCAUAUAUUUUUUUAACCGACUUCCAACCUGCCAUUUAGGCAAGCAAGUCAUUUUGGGCAUAAUUUUUUUCAUAUUUCUUUACAUAAUAUUGUGAUAUAAAUAAAGCAUAUUUAUGCCCCCUGUAACAUAUUGUAUACGCUUAUAUAAAACACUAACUUCCCGCCCACGCCCACCUGGUCAUGAUUGACUUAUGUUGGUCUUGAAAUAGAUGAAUUAUUAUGCUAUUAGUAUUGAAUAAAUAUUUGAUAUAUG
Long non-coding RNA from Zerene cesonia (dogface butterfly), 742 nucleotides. RefSeq lists it as uncharacterized. NCBI's taxonomy places the organism in Eukaryota, Metazoa, Arthropoda, Insecta, Lepidoptera, Pieridae. The record is from RefSeq and is a predicted model, not a curated record. The transcript has 2 exons.